GACUAAUGCUAGCGGCGUGCCUAACACAUGCAAGUCGAACGGUCAAUUAGGUGAAAGGUAGAAGCUGAAAGUUAAAAGUUUCUUUUUAGCUUUUAGUUUUCAAAUUUUACCUGAUUGAUAGUGGCGGACGAGUGAGUAAUGCAUGGAUGACCUACUCUCAGGAGGAGGACAACCUGCCGAAAGGCGGGCUAAUACUCCAUAAGAUCACUGUGAUGAAAAUCGGAGUGAUGAAAGUUUCGAUAAACUCGGAACGCUUGAGAACGGGUUCAUGUUCUAUUAGCUAGUUGGUGCGGUAAUGGCGCACCAAGGCGAAGAUGGAUAGCCGGCUUGAGAGAGUGUACGGCCACACUGGGAUUGAGAAACGACCCAGACUCCUACGGGAGGCAGCAGUGAGGAAUUUUCCGCAAUGCCCGAAAGGGUGACGGAGCGACGCCGCGUGGGUGAUGAAGGCCUUCGGGUUGUAAAGCCCUUUUAUAAAGGACGAUAAUGACGGUACUUUGGGAAUAAGCAUCGGCUAACUCUGUGCCAGCAGCCGCGGUAAGACAGAGGAUGCAAGCAUUGUCCGGAAUUACUGGGUGUAAAAUGUGUGUAGGUGGUUAAAUAAGUCAAAUGUGAAAUCUCGAUGCUUAACAUCGAAAUUGCAUUUGAUACUGUUUGACUUGAGUUCUGGCGAGGAAAGUGGAAUUCCCGGUGGAGCGGUGAAAUGCGUUGAUAUCGGGAGGAACACCGAUGGCGAAGGCAACUUUCUAUCCUGAAACUGACACUGAGACACGAAAGCUAGGGGAGCAAACAGGAUUAGAUACCCUGGUAGUCCUAGCCGUAAACGAUGGAUACUGGGUGUGGGUUCUUUAUGAACCUGUGCCGAAGUUAACGCGUUAAGUAUCCUACCUGGGGAGUACAGUCGCAAGACCGAAACUCAAAGGAAUUGACGGGGGCUCGCACAAGCGGUGGAACACGUGGUUUAAUUCGAUGCAAAGCGAAGAACCUUACCGGGGUUUGACAUGCUGAUAGUACAAUCCUGAAAAGGGGAGGACUCCGAUUUAUCGGAGAGUCAGCACAGGUGCUGCAUGGCUGUCGUCAGCUCGUGUCGUGAGAUAUUGGGUUAAGUCCCGUAACGAGCGCAACCCCUAUCCUUAGUUGUCCGCCAUUAAUAUUGGCGGAUUCUCUAAGGAAACUGCCUCAGAUAAUGGGGAGGAAGGUGGGGAUGACGUCAAGUCCUCAUGGCCCUUAUGUCCCGGGCUACACACGUGUUACAAUAAAGCCGACAGAGAGUUGCAAGACCGUGAGGUGGAGCCAAUCUCUAAACGGCUUUUCAGUUCGGAUUGGAGGCUGAAACUUGUCUCCAUGAAGUAGGAAUCGCUAGUAAUCGCGGAUCAGCAGGCCGCGGUGAAUACGUUCCCGAGCCUUGUACACACCGCCCGUCACACCAUGAGAGCUGGGGAUACCUGAACUCUGAUGUUAUAUCGGAAGAGGGUAAAACCAGUGAUUGGGGUG
This 1494-nucleotide ribosomal RNA is filed under the name uncultured bacterium. RNAcentral describes it as "partial 16S ribosomal RNA". It matches the Rfam family "Bacterial small subunit ribosomal RNA". The record is from RNAcentral.